AGAGUUUGAUCCUGCUCAGGACGAACGCUGGCGGCGUGCCUAAUACAUGCAAGUUGAGCGCUGAAGUCUGGUACUUGUACUAGAUGGAUGAGCGCGAACGGGUGAGUAACGCGUGGAUAACCUGCCUCUUAGCGGGGGAUAACUAGAGGAAACUUUAGCUAAUACCGCAUAAAACUUAGUAACACAUGUUACGAAGUUGAAAGUACCAAUUGGUACACUAAGAGAUGGAUCCGCGUUGUAUUAGCUAGUUGGUGAGGUAAAGGCUCACCAAGGCAACGAUACAUAGCCGACCUGAGAGGGUGAUCGGCCACACUGGGACUGA
Molecule: ribosomal RNA, 322 nt
Filed under: uncultured bacterium
Lineage: Bacteria
Description: bacterial SSU rRNA
Rfam family: Bacterial small subunit ribosomal RNA
Source: RNAcentral